Molecule: ribosomal RNA, 427 nt
Filed under: uncultured bacterium
Lineage: Bacteria
Description: bacterial SSU rRNA
Rfam family: Bacterial small subunit ribosomal RNA
Source: RNAcentral
UGGGGAACUUUGGACAAUGGGCGCAAGCCUGAUCCAGCCAUGCCGCGUGCAGGAUGAAGGCCUUCGGGUUGUAAACUGCUUUUGUACGGAACGAAAAGACUCCUUCUAAUAAAGGGGGUCCAUGACGGUACCGUAAGAAUAAGCACCGGCUAACUACGUGCCAGCAGCCGCGGUAAUACGUAGGGUGCGAGCGUUAAUCGGAAUUACUGGGCGUAAAGCGUGCGCAGGCGGUUAUAUAAGACAGAUGUGAAAUCCCCGGGCUCAACCUGGGAACUGCAUUUGUGGCUGUAUAGCUAGAGUACGGCAGAGGGGGAUGGAAUUCCGCGUGUAGCAGUGAAAUGCGUAGAUAUGCGGAGGAACACCGAUGGCGAAGGCAAUCCCCUGGGCCUGUACUGACGCUCAUGCACGAAAGCGUGGGGAGCAAACA